RNAcentral lists this small nuclear RNA (59 nucleotides) under Notamacropus eugenii (tammar wallaby). Lineage: Eukaryota; Metazoa; Chordata; Mammalia; Diprotodontia; Macropodidae. The record is from RNAcentral.
GUGCUUGCUUCAGCAACACAUAUACCAAAAUUGGAAUGAUACGGAGAAGUUUAGCAUGG